Molecule: non-coding RNA, 58 nt
Organism: Aedes albopictus (Asian tiger mosquito)
Lineage: Eukaryota; Metazoa; Arthropoda; Insecta; Diptera; Culicidae
Source: Rfam
UAACCUAGUGGUUAAGGCUGUGGAUCGCCAAUCCACAGAUAGUGGGUUCGAUUCCCGU